GAUGAACGCUAGCGGCAGGCUUAACACAUGCAAGUCGAGGGGUAGGUUACUUCGGUAAUUGAGACCGGCGCACGGGUGCGUAACGCGUAUACAAUCUACCUUUUACAGAGGGAUAGCCCAGAGAAAUUUUGGAUUAAUACCUCAUAGUAUUUUUGAAUCGCAUGAUUUGAUUAUUAAAGUUCCAACGGUAAAAGAUGAGUAUGCGUCCCAUUAGCUAGACUGGUAAGGUAACGGCUUACCAUGGCUACGAUGGGUAGGGGUCCUGAGAGGGGAGAUCCCCCCACACUGGUACUGAGACACGGACCAGACUCCUACGGGAGGCAGCAGUGAGGAAUAUUGGACAAUGGGCGCAAGCCUGAUCCAGCCAUGCCGCGUGCAGGAAGAAGGUCCUAUGGAUUGUAAACUGCUUUUAUACAGGAAGAAACACUACUUCGUGAAGUAGCUUGUAC
RNAcentral lists this ribosomal RNA (449 nucleotides) under uncultured bacterium. Its description in RNAcentral is "bacterial SSU rRNA". It matches the Rfam family "Bacterial small subunit ribosomal RNA", at positions 28 to 473 of the family's 1533-position model. The record is from RNAcentral.